AACAAGAUAGACAUGCUGGAUUUCAUUUCACAAAAUCACAAGUCGAACACUUCCCAAGUGUUUAGGACUGUGUGAUGUAUUUUCGGAUGAUGUGUGCAGUAGGGUGGCCUUUUGCAGUUGACAGAUAGUAAUUUUGUCAAUAUUGUUUCCAAAUGCCGGCUGAGAUCUUUUGGCACAGCACCCAGUGUGCCCAUCACCACUGGGACCACCUGCACUGGUUUCUGCCAGAGUCUUUGAAGUUCAGUCUUGAGGUCCUGAUAGCGGCUGAGUUUUUCCUGUUGUUUUUCGUCAAUGCGAAUAUCACCUGGGAUGGCAACAUCAAUGAUCCAAACCGUGAUGUCUGGUGUGCUGUGUUCCAGAACUUUGUCAGUCUGGAUUCGGAAGACCCACAGUAUCUUUGCGUGCUCAUUCUCCAAUACUUUUGCAGGUUUGUGAUCCCACCAGUUCUUUGCUGCUGGGAGGUGGAACUCCCACCAGUUCUUUGCUGCUGGGAGGUGGUACUUGAGGCAUAAGUUCCAAUGAAUCAUUUGGGCCACAUAGUUGUGCUUCUGUUUGUAGUCUGUCUGUGCGAUUUUCUUACAGCAGCUGAGGAUAUGAUCAAUGGUUUCGUCAGUUUGCUUGCACAGUCUGCAUUUUGGGUCAUCAGCUGAUUUUUCGAUCUUGGCCUUAAUUGCGUUUGUUCUUAUGGCUUGCUCCUGGGCUGCAAGGAUCAGACCUUCUGUCUCCUUCUUCAAGGUCCCAUUUGUGAGCCAGAGCCAGGUCUUCUCCUUGUCAGCUUUUCCUUCAAUUUUGUCAAGGAACUUUCCAUGCAAUGUUUUGUUAUGCCAGCCGUCAGCUCUAGUUUGUAGUGCGGUUUUCUUGUACUGAUUCUUUGUCUGCUGUGCUUUGAGGAGUUUCUGAUUUUUUACUUCAAUCAAAGCAGGUUCUUCACUUUGCUUUACAUAUUCUGCCAGGGCAUGUUCUUCUUCUUUGACUGCUUGUUUUACUUGUAAGAGUCCUCUGCCACCAGAUCUUCUAGGUAGAUAGAGCCGGUCAACAUCACUGCGAGGGUGCAGUGAAUGAUGAAUGGUCAUGAGUUUUCUUGUUUUUCUGUCCAAAUUGUCCAGUUCCACUUGUGUCCAGUUUAUGAUGCCAGCAGUAUAUCUUAUGACAGGUAUGGCCCAGGUGUUCAUGGCCUUGAUGGUGUUGCCUCCAUUGAGACUUUAUUUAUUUAUUUAUUUAUUUUAUUUACAGUAUUUAUAUUCCACCCUUCUCACCUCGAAGGGGACUCAGGGCGGAUCACAUUGUACAAGGCAAACAUUCAAUGCCAUAUAAACAUAGAAUAGAGACAGAGACAGACACAGAGGCAAUUUAAACCUUCUCCAGCUUCCAGCUUCCUGAGGGUAUGCUUGAUUCCAGCCACAGGGGGAGCAGCUGCCAUCCACUGCGACGGCAACUUCUUCAUUCCAACGGCAGCUGGAUGAUUUUUAUGGUGUCGUAAAUUAGCUUCCCCACAUAUAAGUGGUACCUAAGUUUCCUACUUGAUAGAUGCAACUAUCUUUUGGGUUGCUUAGGUCAACAACGAGCAGAGGCUAUUUUUUAUUUUAAUUGUCGGGUGCCCACCCCGACAUGGAUUGGCCUCAAACUCAUGAUCUCUUGGUCAGAGUGUUUUAUUGCAGCUGGCUGCUAACCAGUCUGCGCCACAGCCCGUUUUGUUUUGUAAAUCGCAGAAGGCUCCCAAACUGAGUUUCAUAUUCUGUGCAAGGAAGCAAAACUAAAAAAAGCAAAGCCAAAAAGGCUGCCUUAGUGCCUUUCAUUUCCUCUCUCCAUUAAUGGCCUCUCUCCAUUAGGAAAGGGGAAAAGAGGAAGAAGUGUUUUCUGGGAACAGCAUAGAACUCUGGGAUGUGUAGUUUGGGAAGGGAGGAACCCUAUGCCAGAGAAUUCAAAAAGCCCUGCCUUAACCUCCAUUACCCAGAAUACAGUGUAGUGCUCAGCAUCAGAGAGAUUUGCCCCUCUGUAGCCAGCCAGAGUUCCAAUAAAUUAUGAUUUUUGUUCUUUUUGUCAUUUAAUUGGUUCGAGCCCCGGUGGCGAAGUGCGUUAAAGCACUGAGCUGGAGACCAAAAGGUCCCAGGUUCAAACCCCGGGAGCGGCGGGAGCGGCCACUGUUAGCUCCAGCUCCUGCCAACCUAGCAGUUCGAAAACAUGCCAAUGUGAGUAGAUCAAUAGGUACCGCUCCGGCAGGAAGGUAACGGCGCUCCAUGCAAUCAUGCCGGCCACAUGACCUUGGAGGUGUCUACGGACAAUGCCGGCUCUUCAGCUUAGAAAUGGAGAUGAGCACCAACCCCCAGAGUCAGACAUGACUGGACUUAACGUCAGGGGAAAACCUUUACCUUACUAUCAUAAAAACAUGGUGAAAGUUUAUUAAAUUGCAAAAACUGUAUCUUUGCACGCGGGACAUUUUGCUAUCUAGUCCACCAAUUUAAAAUCAUCAUCCACCCAUUUGACAAAGUUUGGCCUACAACUUCCAGAAAUCCCAGCCACUUUACCAGCUGUUAGGAUUUCUGGGAGUUGAAGGCCAAAACAUCUGGGGACUACCAGAUUAAGAACCACUGAGCUAGAUAGUUUUAGUUAGCCCUCUCACUGUUAACUAGUCCUUCAGCUGGCUCUCUCACCAUCAGCUGGCAUAACAGUUCCAGAAUGACCAGUAUCCACCCAGAGAACUGACCCUCUACUAAUACAACACACAACACAUUAAAAUAGAAGUUCACCCAGGCCUUGUGGGCUUAGCUUUAUAAUAAGAGUCUCCUUGCAGUUGCUGAGCCACACCCAGCUGGAACAGACUUGGGACAUUAAAUAUCUCCAGCCUGCUCUUUGGGACUCCUUGUG
Anolis carolinensis (green anole) is the source of this 2865-nucleotide long non-coding RNA. Lineage: Eukaryota; Metazoa; Chordata; Lepidosauria; Squamata; Anolidae. The record is from Ensembl.